RNAcentral lists this ribosomal RNA (416 nucleotides) under uncultured bacterium. Its description in RNAcentral is "bacterial SSU rRNA". It matches the Rfam family "Bacterial small subunit ribosomal RNA", at positions 29 to 447 of the family's 1533-position model. The record is from RNAcentral.
AUUGAACGCUGGCGGCAUGCCUUACACAUGCAAGUCGAACGGCAGCACGGGAGUAAUCCUGGUGGCGAGUGGCGAACGGGUGAGUAAUACAUCGGAACGUGCCCAGUAGUGGGGGAUAGCCCGGCGAAAGCCGGAUUAAUACCGCAUACGACCUACGGGUGAAAGCGGGGGAUCGCAAGACCUCGCGCUAUCGGAGCGGCCGAUGUCAGAUUAGGUUGUUGGUGGGGAAAGGCCUACCAAGCCGACGAUCUGUAGCUGGUCUGAGAGGACGACCAGCCACACUGGGACUGAGACACGGCCCAGACUCCUACGGGAGGCAGCAGUGGGGAAUAUUGGACAAUGGGCGCAAGCCUGAUCCAGCGAUGCCGCGUGUGUGAAGAAGGCCUGCGGGUUGUAAAGCACUUUCAGUAGGGAAG